GUUAAAAAGCUCGUAGUUGGAUUUCUGGGAGAGUGGCGAUGUCCGCUUAACGUGUGUGCAGCGACGCUCUUCCAUCCUUCUGUUAGCGUCUCUCGGCAUUCAUUUGUCGGUGGCGGGCUCAGAUAUUUUACCUUGAGAAAAUUAGAGUGUUUCAGGCAGGCUAGGCCGGAAUACAUUAGCAUGGAAUAAUGGAAUAGGACUACGGUCUCUUUGUUGGUUUGAGGGACUGCAGUAAUGAUUAAUAGGGAUAGUUGGGGGCAUUAGUAUUUAAUUGUCAGAGGUGGAAUUCUCAGAUUUGUUAAAGACUAACUUAUGCGAAAGCAUUUGCCAAGGAUGUUUUCAUUAAUCAAGAACGAAAGUUAGGGGAUCAAAGACGAUCAGAUACCGUCCUAGUCUUAACCAUAAACUAUGCCGACUCGGGAUUGGGGGCGUGUUCUAUCCGCCUUCAGCACCGUAUGAGAAAUCAAAGUCUUUGGGUUCUGGGGGGAGU
This 490-nucleotide ribosomal RNA is filed under the name uncultured eukaryote. RNAcentral's name for it is "SSU rRNA". It matches the Rfam family "Eukaryotic small subunit ribosomal RNA", at positions 618 to 1124 of the family's 1831-position model. The record is from RNAcentral.